UACGUAGGGGGCGAGCGUUGUCCGGAGUUACUGGGCGUAAAGGGCAUGCAGGCGGUCGGACGCGUUUUGUGUGACAGCGGGUGGCUUAACUACCCGAGGAUACGAAAGACGGUUGGACUUGAGGACUCGAGAGGGACACGGAAUUCCGGGUGGAGUGGUGAAAUGCGUAGAGAUCCGGAGGAACACCGAAGGCGAAGGCAGUGUCCUGGCGAGUGACUGACGCUGAGGUGCGAAAGCCAGGGGAGCGAACGGG
This 253-nucleotide ribosomal RNA is filed under the name uncultured bacterium. RNAcentral's name for it is "partial 16S ribosomal RNA". It matches the Rfam family "Bacterial small subunit ribosomal RNA", at positions 524 to 776 of the family's 1533-position model. The record is from RNAcentral.